RNAcentral lists this microRNA (23 nucleotides) under Oreochromis niloticus (Nile tilapia). Its description in RNAcentral is "oni-miR-10776". Lineage: Eukaryota; Metazoa; Chordata; Actinopteri; Cichliformes; Cichlidae. The record is from miRBase by way of RNAcentral.
UCUCACUCAGAUCCAUACAGCUG